This 445-nucleotide ribosomal RNA is filed under the name uncultured bacterium. RNAcentral's name for it is "partial 16S ribosomal RNA". It matches the Rfam family "Bacterial small subunit ribosomal RNA", at positions 354 to 796 of the family's 1533-position model. The record is from RNAcentral.
GUAGGGAAUAUUGGGCAAUGGAUGCAAGUCUGACCCAGCCAUCCCGCGUGCCGGAAGAAGGCCCUCAGGGUUGUAAACGGCUUUUGACGGUGAAGAAUCGACAGGAUGCGUCCUGUUUUGACGGUAGCCGUUGAAUAAGCACCGGCUAACUCCGUGCCAGCAGCCGCGGUAAUACGGAGGGUGCGAGCGUUGUCCGGAUUUAUUGGGUUUAAAGGGUGCGUAGGCUGGAAGGUCAGUCAGCGGUGAAAAGCUGUCGCUUAACGAUAGUCUUGCCGCAGAUACUUCCUUUCUUGGAUGAGGAGGAGGCCACUGGAACGGAUGGUGUAGCGGUGAAAUGCAUAGAUAUCAGCCAGAACACCGAUUGCGAAGGCAGGUGGCUGUACCUUAAUCGACGCUGAUGCACGAAAGCAUGGGGAGCAAACAGGAUUAGAAACCCGAGUAGUCC